Long non-coding RNA from Heterocephalus glaber (naked mole-rat), 1996 nucleotides. The record is from Ensembl. Lineage: Eukaryota; Metazoa; Chordata; Mammalia; Rodentia; Bathyergidae.
GUCAGCAUAUUUUGAUAUUAAAUUCAGAGAUCACACCUCUGCAUUAAUUUUUAAAUUAUACUAACAACCACAGAUUAUGUUGGCAUGUUUUCUUCUAUACUUUCUACCAAAAAAAAGCUUGUCUGAAAUUUGAAGGAAAUAUGCAUAUUUGCAAUUUCUAUAAAAAAGAAUAUUCUUUUUUAUGUAUUUUGCUCAAUAGUGACUUUAAAAAACUAAAGUUAUAUUCUCAGCUGUUUAAAAUCACUAACCUAUGAUAACCACACCUCAGUUUGAAAAAGAUUUUUAAAAAUUAUUCCCUGAGAGUUUCUUUUUAAGGAGCCAUAAGGAGGGAACCCAGUAUGCAAUUCCUUUUUUUAAUCUGGGAAUCAGGGAAUAGUUCCUAAAUAUACAAAAUUUACUGAUACAAUAUUUUUUUCUUCCCUUCAUGUACCAGUUCACACUCAAAUAGAAAGUUUUUUUUGUUUUGUUUUGUUUUGUUUUUUUGGUACCGGAGAUCGAACUCGGGUCCUUGCGCUUUUGCGCAGCAGGUGGCAAAACCACUGAGCUAAAUCCCGGCCCCUAAUAGAAAGUUUUUAAAUAGCCAUUCGGACUUGUUUCAGAAAAAAGAAAAAUCAAGCCUUUUGUGGAGGAUGAAGAAUCUGACUAAUGUACUGUCACAGACAAGUAUAAGUAGUUUUGUUUCAUUUGAAUAGGUAAGCAAAAUAUACUUUAUACCAGUGAAUUACCAACACCUUGACUUGGUUACAGUGCUCAUGUCUGUUUUUUCUGAAGUUAUCCAUUAUGAAGCAGGGUGGAAGUUCAGUAUUUUGACAUUUUAAAAGUUUAGUUAUAUAAUGUCUGCUUCCAGCCAGUGAGAAACAUCUAGCCAUACCUUUCUUAUGCAAGCCAUUCAGUUAUCAGGACUGUGAAUUAACACUGUAUGAAUAAAUUUCUGUACACCUUAUCGUUUGGCCAGAAGGCCACCAAGUGUACUUAUAUGUAAUCCUUAAAUUUUAAAGUAGCUGUAAUUUUUAAAUAUUUCUAAACUUUUCAUAAACCACUAAAAUUAAGCUCUUACUACUUAGUCAAUUAUCCUCAGCUGUAUUCGUACUCAAUUGUCAGUAUGGCACAGAUUACUGUAUUAAAAUACUCUCUCUUUCAGUCUUCAUAUUUACCUUCUGAGGUAAUUUUUUAACUUAAUGUGUUACUACAAAGAUUUGCAGAUCUUUAAUCAAGCACUAUGUUAAUACUGUAAUAUCAAAAUACUAUGUUGCAUUAUUUAAAGUGUUCAAAUUGAAUAGUUUAAAAGGAAGUUUUUAAAUGCUAUAUUGCAUCAUAUAAUUUGCUACUCAUCCACUAUGGCAUUGCAUAUUAGUCUGUUAAUACAUUUAAUGUUGCAUGAGUGAUAUUUUGGUCUGGGUUUCCUCUUAAGAUUUUAGUUUGCCUAAAUUAAGGAAAAAUGUUAUUAACAAUACUACAUUUUUAUUUUGUCCCCCCACCCCCAAUCAGCUGGAAAUCUUAACCUUUUGGAUUUUCUUGGUGUUUUAAUGGGCCCAGAACUGUGGUUUAAUUUUUUAUAUAUGUAUUUUAUUUUUUUGUGGAGUAUAAAUUUGAAAACUGGAUUUGGGACCUAAAAUACUCCUCAGGUUGACAUAUUCAUUAAGUUUUAAAAUAGCUUUAGUUUUCAAAGUAAACUGGAUUUGUGGACCUUAAAGUUCCUGAGUUUAAACUACAAGUUGUAAUGUCAUCACUGGACACGUCAGCGUCACCCUCUCCGAACAGCGCAGUCACUUUAUGAAGGGGCAUCUUAAAGCUGCUGUUAGCAGUGACAUUCAAUAUGGUCCAAUUGCUUUUCUUUUUUAACACGACAAAAAAGAAUAAGGAACAAACACUAUUGCUGCCGAAUGCCAUAACACUGAGUUGUACAAAUUGUGAUUGAGGAAAUGGAAAAGGUUUAUACUUUUUAAAAAAAACAAAAAAAACAAAACUUCAAAUGGAAUAAAUUAUUCACGAAGCC